This 15626-nucleotide long non-coding RNA is filed under the name Vitis vinifera (wine grape). RNAcentral describes it as "long non-coding RNA (VVIN_LNC003834)". The record is from RNAcentral. Lineage: Eukaryota; Viridiplantae; Streptophyta; Magnoliopsida; Vitales; Vitaceae.
AGGGUUGCGAUGAUAGUCAAGCAGAAUAUUGCUGGCCUUCACAUCUCUGUGUACAAUGCGAACUCGCGAUUCCUCAUGAAGAUAGGCUAGACCCCUGGCUACACCCAAGCAUAUAUCAUAACGGGUUGGCCAAUCAAGGUCCAAACUUCCGUUUCCUGUUCAUGAAUAACAAGUAUAACUGUAUUCAUUGUGUUUUCUUCAUAAGAAAAUGUCAUGAUAGCUAGAGCUGCUAAGGUGCUACCCUUACCAAAUAGUGCUUGAUCAAGGCUCUUGUUUUCAAGAUACUCAUAGACAAGUGAUCGGUUUACUCCUUCAAUGCAGCACCCAUACAAUUUCACAAGGUUACGAUGUUGCACAGCUGAUAUGGUUGCAAUCUCUGCUACAAACUGCUUCUUUCCUUGGUGGGAUGCUACAGAUAGUUGCUUUACAGCAACAACUCUUCCAUCAGAAAGUGUCCCCUAACGAAUAUAAAAUUAUUGCAAAAAAAAAAAAAAAAAAGGAGAAUGAGAAAAAUACCAUGUUUGUAAUCAUAAUUAUAAUCAUAAAAAAAAAAUAUAAGCUCAAUAGGAUAAUGACCUACCUUAUAGACAGGUCCAAAUCCGCCCUCUCCAAGCUUAUUAGAAGGACUGAAGUCUCCAGUGGCAUUUUUUAGUUCAGCAUAACUGAAAGUGUAUGGCCUAGCAUCCAUACCUAGGAGCUCUGCAAAUUCCAAACAAAGCACAAUCAAUUGUGAAUCUGCUCACUGAUUUCCUACCUAAUCAACAAGAUGUCUUUGCAAAUGCAAAAUUAUCUUUGACAACUGGAUGUUGAUCUGCAAGAACUUGUAUAUUCUUUGGCAAGAUGUUUGGAUGCCUCUUCUUAACAUGCAUCAGAAUAAACAUAAUUGCAAAAUAUUUUAAUUCUAGAACUGGUCUUUAGCUUAAAUGUAGUUUAGUAGGAGAUAAGUAGAUAGAAGUAACUAAUGUCCCUCUCUAACUAUCAAAAAAUAAGUGGGUUCUUUAAACUGCCUUUUAUCUCUGAACUUUGGUAUAAAAAAAACAUGUUCCACAAAGAGAGCAGUUCUUUACACCUCUGUUUUAUAUUUAAAACAAUAAUUAAAAAGAAAAAAGAAAAAAAGGCAUAAGUGCAUCACUAGAUGUUAAAUGUCCUAAGCAGGCAUCUAUAGACCAACACCAGUGAAAACAAGAAAAAGUACUUGCAAAUAAUGUCAGAGUGGGCGCUGAAACCCAAUUCAGAAGUCAGAGCACUAACAAUAUGAACACGACAUAGCCUUUUGCAUUACCUUCAUCUUGGUUUUCUGAUGGCUUUUUUCUUCUUAGAACGAAAUAAUAAAGAGCGAAAACAGAUAGAAAGCACACAACUCCAAGGCCAACAGCAAUUCCCACUAUCAAGCCAGUCCUAUUCUUCUUCCCAUUUGGAGCAGUGUUACUCACGGUAGGUUCAAAAUCUGUGUAAAAUUUAGUCUCAGUACCAGUAUGAAAGUGGAUCAACAUUUUAGUUACUGAUUUGCAUCAAAUAGCUUCCAAUUGCAUUACCUGGGGUAGCACUGAUUGCUGAAAUAGAAGGUCCAUAUGUCCCUUGAGCAGGUACACAGCAAGUCCCUUUUCCAGCCCAAAAGAGAUGGAUUUCAAUGUAAUUUUCCAAUACUUGAGCCGUGAAUUCUUUCUUAACAGCUUGGAAAGAGACCCCUCCUGCCUCCUUUCUUAUGUCAAAAUCUUUUAAAACCAAAUCUCCCUAGAAUAAACAAAUUAAAACUUAGAUAAAAAAAGGGGAAACAUAUUGGAGAAUGUCUUCUUAGGAAUUUGGGAAUAGAAGAAUUCAUUUAAGUUUCAUUCACUAAGCCAUAACCUGAGAUUAUAUCAGGAAGGAAUCAGAAGGACACGGUUGAACUGACAAUUUGGAGUAGAAUUUCAUAACUAAGAAUAAUAUUGAUGGUUAAGGCAACAUUUUUGAAUAAGAAAGAAGCUGGAGUUUUCAUUCUAUAAUUCUUAAGAAAACUUUUAGGAGUUAUUCUCAAUAUUGUGGUACAUUAAGUAUCUAUUGAAUCAAUAAUCACCAAAAAAAAAAGAAAUAAAACCAAAUUGCAAUAUCAAGAUCUGUCCAAAAUUUUCAAAAUAAUUACAAAUUGAUUCAAAAUAAACACAAUGUUGGUUACUCUGAAGCUUGAGUUUAACAAAGAAUAGUAAAAACACAGUUUCUUGCACAAGUCCUUAUUUCAAUACUAACCUGGAUAUAAACAUCAAAGACACGCCUUCCAAGACUCUUCCAAGAAUUUGAAUUAACAAUUGCUGUCUCUGCAAAUUGGAGGGUCAAAGUAUAGUUUCCAUUCUCAAGGCCUAAGCCAUAGUAUCUUAAUGAUCCAGCAGAGAUCCUUGCUGUUUGGAACAGCUCUGAGUCUAAAGUAUUUGUGAAUUGAGAUGAAGACGUGCUUGUGUACUGAGGAUUGUUGCUUCCGGAAAACAAUCCAACAUUGCUAACUGCCCACCUGUUUUCGUCAGUCACAUAGUAUGUAGCUGGACCAAGAGUUUCAUUAUCCCUCUCAAACACAAUCUGAUCAGAAGAUGUAAUCUGAGGACCACCACACUUGAUUGCAAAGUUGUAAUCUGUACACCAAUAGAAAAAGCAGCAUUUAUCAAAGUUAAAGAAGUGAUUUGAUUUUUUCAAGCGAAAAGUUAAAUUCACCUCCAUCCUUUUUUUAUCAAAGUUAAAUGCAUAAUUGUUUUCAAAUGGUUAUACUCAAGAAUAUUGACAACUAAUGAAAUAAUUCUUACUUAAGGUUGCAUAAAGUCAUUUUUCAAUGCUCAAAACUGACAUGAAUCAGCAGCAAACCUUCAUAUCUGUUUGAGUGAUAAUUCCAAAAAAAAUUCUGACAUUUGAUACUUCAUAAUAUCAUUUUACAACUCUCUCAGCCCAAUUCACCCCUCAAAUUGAUGACCUGUGAAUUUUCCACAAAAAGAGAAACUUGUGCUAUGAUAUCUAUUACAAGGCUCUCCCUGGACCUAACUAAUCAAAUCUCUUGACCCACAAGAAACAAACCUCAUUAGUUUCCCUUUUUUGAGUCUUUCAACAAACAUGUCCUGGAGAAAGAAUAAAACCUAAUGCAAGAACACCAAUCACUAAUAUGACUUGCCCGGUCUAAAUUAAAAUGGGUACUCAAGUAAAGAAAGGAUUUUCUUAUUCCUAGCUCAUACAAGUUAAUAGAAAUGUGAAAUACAGUUUCCAAUAUUGACAGUAUUCUUUUUUAUGACACUGAUACUAUAGUAGAUUUUUCUCCUUUUCAUGCCAUAAUACCUAAUAAUAUGUUCCACCACUGAAAUCAUGAAAAAGGGAAUGGUUCUGCAUUGAACUUACAAAUUCCAGAACCUCUAUUGCAAGGAAAAUUUUGUUGAAGGCAGUUCAAUCCUGAAGGAAGAACACUGUAAACACAGGAAGAAGAACAUACGAAGUUAAGCCAGAAAUGUAAUGAAAUUAUUGGAGCAGCCUAUAUUAACUAUUUUAGACUAUUAUGGAACUUUCAGACAUUAAGCAUUGAGAGAAACCAUUUGCAUACUUUUAAUGAAUAAGCAUAUCUUCAUGGGUUAAAAUAUGGGAUUGAAAAAAUCACCUGCUGUUUGAACUGUCUAGUGUGAAGUUGUUGGCGACCAAAUUACUGCAUAUUCAACCCCAUAGAGAAUCAUAAAGUACAAUGUUAGUAUCAAUAUCAAUUGAUACAGAACAUAACUCAUGUAACAAAAUGCAAGUUUCAUAUUAUCAUUGAAGAAGCAACAAAAUAUGUCAAACCCGAAAGCUGGUGGUUAAAAUAUUACAGGCUUUACAGCAUUGCAAUUUGAAUAUAAAACUAGAAACUUCUGACCUACAAAAUUUUGGAAAAAAAAUAAACAGAAAGAAUAGGAUUUUCAAACAUACAGUUGUAAAUUCUCUUCAUCAACCCAAGAAGGAAAGCUCCCUGAUAGUCCAUUGUAUGACAAGUCACUGCAGGCAUAACAUAAUGGGAAUAUUAAGUAUAUUGUCCACCAACUGAUAGCCAAAAUUGUGGUCAGUCUUAAAUUUAGAUAUUGGAAAAUCUUAAUUUAGUCAGUGGAAUUAUAUAAGAUUGGUCAAAUUGAACUUAAAAGAAGUAAUUUUUUCACACUACAAUAAUCUCAAUCCAGAAUCCUCAUGUAUGUUUCUCGAUUUUUCCUCAUAUGCAUAAAAUAUUAUGGUGUAACACAAAUAUCAAGAAAGAUUUUACAUGAAAUAAAUGGCACUGUACUAUGCUUCUGGGCUUGCUCUUUGAUUUGUUGCCCACAUCGUGACCCCUGAUGACCAUCUGUCAAUGCACCAUGAUUCUUUCAAACUAGUAAACAUGACACCUAAACCUACAUAAUGCUACCUUACAUACUGGAUGAGAAAUGAACACUCAUACUCUUGAGAGGGGGAAAAUCCAAAUCAAACAAAAGAAUAGACAUCAGGACUAAAAUUCUGUCCUAGGGGAACUUCAGGAAAAGAAAUUUUCUAAUAAAUUUGUUACUGCUGAAAAAGCAGGUACCACCUUCUUUUUGGAAGAAGCAGCUUUAAAUGUUUCACCUUCAUUGUUUAAUUUCAAAGAAAUAAAAUAAGCUACCAUGUAUUAUUCAAGCAGAGAUUUUUUUUUUCUUCUCCAAAGUUCCUUCCACAUCACAAUACAAACAAUAUAUAUCAGCAGCCAGUAGGAUCCUGAUUCUUAUUUUUGUAUCACCACAUAUCAGCAGCUAGACUUGUUCUUAGUGCAUAUCGGGAUUCAUAACCCUUUCUUCCAUAUGUAAACUUCUAUUUUAAGAGAAGUACUAAAUGAUUUUUGGGGCCUACAAUAUAUAGAUCUUCAUAGUCUCACAUAAAAUAUUUUAGAAAUGAAACUUGCCAUUCAACAGAAUUCAUAGCCCUAGUUCCUAGACUUAGCAUAAUGGGGAAAAAAAGGAAUAAAGAUAUUAGCUAGAUAUAUCAAUUUUGAACACAUUUUAAUGAUUAUGAACAUAAAUAUAUUGAAUAUACUUACAUAUUGAGAAGAGAUGUACUUUUCUGUGAAGGUAGACUACCAGUCAACUGAUUAUUUCCAAGGAACCUGAUAAAAAAGACAAACAAUACAUGCUUCACAAUGCGAAGGAAUAUCUCUUGGAAGCACAUGAAAGAACUAAGGAGGCAGGGAUCACUACAAGUAAGUGAGUUGACUCAAAUUGAAGAGAGAUUCUGGAAGUUGUCCACUUAGAUUGUUGAAACUCAAAUCCCUGCAUAAAUAGUCCAAAGGCUAUAACAAAUAUGGAGUAGCUGUCAUUGAAAAAAUAAAUUUAGAUAAGAAAAAUGAUCUCCAUGUGGCAAAAACUAAUAAAAUCUACCCCAAACCCAUCACCCCAGCUGAAUCAAACCAAGAAAAAUGGGCUUGGGUUGAUGGCUAACUUUUUUUUAAUUCAAUCCCAAACAUAUUGAGCUCUACUUAGACCCUGGAUUAACUUACCUGGCAAGUAUUUACUCAUUUAGAAUUUCCCAAAAUUAACUUUGUAUUAAAGAUGGAUUGUUGGGUUGGUUCCAGGUGAUUCUAUAAAAUGAGUUGUGCUCCAGAAAGUUGGAUGUUUUGGAGCCAAUCCAAAAUUUAACCUGACAUGUUCAUGCACAAAAGCAACAUCCAUAAUCGGGAAUAACUUACAGCUGAGUCAAACUUCCAUAUUCUCCAAUAUUUGAUGGAAUGGCAUCAGAGAUAUUAUUAUUCCUUAUUAUUCUGCAAAAGACAACCAUCUUUUUAUACUGAAAUCCCAUAUCAGAAGGUUAAGUGCAAAAGAUAAAAAUUAAAGCCAACUGUUUUAUAAGCUAGAAGCAUGUUGUCUUACAAGGUGCUUAGCGACUUCAUGUCCUUUAUAAAUUCCAGUGAAGAAGAGCUUCCGUUAGAUAUAUCACUUAUUCUCCUAGAUUUUAUAUAGCACAAGAAAAGGUUAAUCAUACAGAUCUGCUACCUAUGAAUGGAAAUAACUAACUGAUCCUACACUUACAAAUCGGUCAAAGAGGUUAAAUUGGAAAAUGAUGACGGGAUGGAACCUUCAAAAGAGUUCCCCUGAAGCCUCCUACAGAAACAGUUUGAAGAAGCAGAUUAUAAAAAUAUAGAAGUACUCUAUAAAGUUGAAUAUCAUGGUAUGAAAAGUUCACAUCCCUUAAAAGACAUACAUUUACAUUGAAUUUAUAGCAUAAAGUGAAUUAAGGCAUGUAAUCUAAGCAUAAGUGAAGGAAAAUAAUGAUUAAAAAACUGAUAACGUUCCCUUACAAGACAGUUAGCUUUGACCAAUUCCCAAUGAAAUCAGGUAUGUUUCCUGUGAGUUCAUUAUCCGACGCCCACCUGAGAGCCCCAGAAAUUUCAGAAAAUUAUAUGAGUGCACCUUUUUCUUAUCAAGAUAUAGUAAAACAAUCCCAAAAUGUGCAGACAGAAGGCGAAGAAAGCUCUUACACUGUAGUCAGGCUCUGUAGAUUAGCAAAUGUUGAAGGAAUAUCACCACUUAAACCAGAGCUAUCAAAGUAACUGUCGAGGUAAGCAGAAUUCAUUAAUUUAAACAAUAUCUAAUUUCUUUUCGUUAAUAAAACAUGAUCAGUGUGCCCUAGAAAUUACUCAAAUUUUGUACCCAUGCAUAUGUACAGAAAUCUACCAACUAAAACCAAGGAGGUAUGUUAAAAACUACACAAAUUAGGUGGAAAUGAUACAAAUACUUACUUAUCCUCUACCUGAUCUAAUUCAAAAGGAACUUCUAUUAGUUCAAACAGGUGGAAUUGUUUCCCAAACUUCUUACCAAAUUAUGGAGUGAAAUAAGUAUUUAUUAACCUUUAAAAUCCCAUAACAGCUGCAAGCACUUCAGCAGUUAAAGUUAACAAAAAGUAGCCUACAAUUUUUCCCUUUCUAGCAUUUGGUGAGGAGCUAUAUAUGCAAAAAUGGAGAGCAAAGAGAGAAGAAGGAAGUUUCAGACCGGGAUCAUUGAAAGACCAAAUUUAUAGUGCCAAAACCACAAGGUUCAAUGGACUUGAUCAUCAUGCAUAUGGAAAAACCUAAAAUGAAACAAAGUGAGUAUGUCAUCUUAGAAGAAGAAUGCUUUAUCCUUUUUCCAAAUUUUGAAAACAUUACCAUAGUGAAACCAUUGAUUGGUUAAACAAUAACAACAUAUCCUAAAUAUUUGUGUAAGCUACACUAUGAGAUCCUAUUAAGCUAUGUCACCCUCUCUACAGAAUCUGUUUUGUUUUUACAUAUCAUAGGUUGUCAUCUAUGUGCGUAUUAAUUCAAACCAUGUCCGUUUUGUUAUCCUUCCCUUCACCUUAUGGUCCUUUCAAUUCAAACCAAACAUCUCUCUACUAUUAUUGUUCUUCAUGGUCUAUGUUUCACAUGAAUAACCAUCUCAACCAACUUUAUCCAAUCUUGUCCCUAAUAGGUGGUUGGUGUUACCCAUCAAACCGAACAUGAUCAAUUUACAAUAUAUCCUGUUAUCACAAAUCCUCUUUAGCCUUAAGUUGAUAGUAGGUCUGAAAAUAUUGCAUUAGACCAUCAAAAAAAGAAAAAUAUCUCCAGUUCAACUAUACCCCUAUAAGUCCAUAGGCAAAUUCCUAUUUUGUCAUCCUUCCUUAAAUCAAACUAAGAUUACAAAAAUGGUCAUUCCUCAAUAUAUUUUGGAUACCAAUCUUCAUUAUUAUCUCAUUUCCACUAACUUAUCAAAGAAAAAAUUAUUAUCUCAUUUCCGCUCCUCAUCACAAAAAUGGUAUUCCUCAUACCUUGUUUUGAUCUCACUUGUCUGAAAGCCUAUAUAUACUUCUAUAUCCCUACAACUCCUAUCCCCCAUACACCUAAGACAAGCAUCUACAUUACUACAUUAUGACUAAAUACCCCCUUUGUAACCCUACCAAAUAUCUCAUGCCAGUUUUAUGCUGUUGAUCAUGACAAUAUAUCAGUUUGAUGCUAAAUUACAGUUGUCACAUCGGCUAGAAAUAAUAUCAUUGGAAAUUCUCAAGAACCGUUUCCAAAAUGUGAGGCCAAAUAACUAAUGUAACCUAACAAUAUUUUCAGCAUGUUUCAUAGACACACGAUAAAAAAUCAAAAUUAUAUUAGAACUUACAGUUGUUCUAACUUCACCAAAUUCCCAAGCUCAGAUGGCAGAGAACCAGAGAAGUUGUUUGUCCCAAAGGCACUGUAAAUUCAACAAGUAAAUAGCAUCAGGUUAGCUCCAAGUGGUAAUAUUUUAAAGAUUAUCUUCUUAUAAGUCCAUAUCAUCAGAAAAAGUACAUGAACAUGGUUGUUAUAACUUGACAUAGCAACACCUUGUUCUGACAUGGUCACACCAAGCCAAUCAAUAUGUCAAAUGAAAAAAAAGAAAAAGUGGGGUGGGCACAUAAAAGAGUUGGUAAGACUAGCAUCUUCCUAAAUUGAAAGUUAUAUGGUGUCAAACAGGGAAAUUUGGAUUGAAGCAUAGUACUUGAAGAUUACUAAACAAUUCUGUUAUCUAUACAAAAUAAGAGUAUGGAAACCUUACAUUGAUCGUAAAUCAGUAAGCUGUCCAAGUUCCUUAGGAAGCUCCCCUGAUAGUGCAUUAAUUCCCAGGCUCCUAACAACAUGAAAUUAAACACCAAAAAAGACACCAAUAAAUUUCAGUGUACUAGGAAAUUUCAAAUAAAAAUUUCUAGUGAUGAGCUUACAAGUACUGCAUGCUUGUUAGAUUGCCAAUGGAUGCAGACAGGGAACCUGUCAAAUAAUUUUGACCCAAAUUCCUGUUAAAAAAAUGGAGAAAAGUAGUGUUACAAAUAACACAGAAUGCAAUUGGAACCCUAGUAAAAUAUUUCAAUGGGUUGAUUUUCUGCAGUAAUAAUAUCCAAGAAAAUGAAGAGAUAAAAAUGCACAACCAUAACUACAAGCAACGAAUAAGUGAAAUAUGAAGUCAUACAGAUUGGUGAGGAAAGUCAAAUUCCAUAGCUCAUCUGGGAUUGCACCAACGACGUCCAAUGCAUAAACUUUCCUGUAAAGAAUCAUUAAAUGAAGUCUAAGCUUAAGAAGCUCUAAGAAGAUGAAAAAGACCCAGACAUGGAAUAUAGAUUUGAAGCGUUGGUUCAAGGGAACCAACUUGGAUGCAGUGGUCUAAGCAUCAGAUUGGGCCUCAAUGUCACUUGGGCAAUGACCACUCAAACCAAAUAUCAAGCAGAGGGACUGCAUUUAUAGGAAAUAGACCAACAAUGUACAAAAUCAAACUGAGUAAUACUCAACAAUCCAAGCACAAAAACAUGUACAUACAGUUGAGUGAUAUGGCAAGUAGAGGCAUUGUCGUAGGAACAAUCACAUUUGAUUCCGGGAUUUUUAAUGUCAGCGCUAUCAAGAGCAGCUCCGGUGCAUGGUUCCCCACUUGUGUUCCAUUCGUUUGAUGCUGAGAUUCCCCAUUGUUGAAAUAUAGAAUUCAAAAUUGUCACUGCAAUCAAAAUUCAAAUGCUAAGUACAAAUUUGGGGUUCUGAUCUUCUCAUGUAAAAACCAAUUGAUGAGGGUAGGAAGCCAUCAAACCCUUCCCAAUAUGAGCCUCCUGGACACCAUUUUACUUCAAAAUCAAUUUUUUUGGUGUGUUAAAAUCAAUUAUUUAUGGGCGUAGAUAAACAAACCUUUUAUAUCAUUCGACGUCACAUCCCAUCACAUCCCAUCAAUUUAUCCCAAAAACCGCCAUUUAUCAGAGGUAAAAAUAACAUUGGUUUGAUCAAUUUUAGAACAAAAAAAAUCAACCAAACUAAUAUGCUCAAUUUAUAUGAGGUAAAAUUUUGAAUAAACUAUGAUUUUAAUAAAAACCAAAUCAAACCUAACCAUUUAAGGCUUGUUUAAUUUGAUAUUUUUAAUCAAUUUUGGCUCAACAACAAUACUCUUUUUAUUUUGAGCUAAUCUAUUGAUAUAGUUUUACGUUAAAUAAUAUUUUUAUAUAAUAAUUGUAAUAAGUUUUAGCUGAAUCUAAAAGUCUAACAAGUAAUCAAUAAUAAGUAUUAACCAAUCAAAAUUUUAAAUAAUAAUAUGAUCAAUUUUGCUUUUUCUCAAACGGAACUAAGCAUUUCACAAUAUAAAAACAAACCAAUUUGAUCAAUUUUAAUUGAUUUGGAUUGAUUUGAUCAAAGUUUGAAUAUUUGACUUACACUCCUAUAGUUUGUCAUCCAUGAAGAUUAUAAAAAUGUACAUGACAAACUACCACGAGGAUUGUUUUCAAAAAGGGGACCAUCAAAUUGGCAUGAUCAAUUUUUCUUUUCCUCAAAUCGAACUAAGCAUUUCACAAUUUAACAAUAAACCAAUUUGAUCAAUUUUAAUUGAUUUAAAUUGAUUUGAUCGAGUUUGAUAAUUUGGCUUACACUCCUAUAUUUUACCACCUAUGAAAAUUACAGAAAUGUACAUGUCCAACUGCUAAGUUGAAUUUAUACCCAAUUGAAUAAUAUUUAUUGUAAAUAUCUACAAAAUGAUACCGUAUAAUAUAAGAUUUCAAUAAAAAAAAUAAUGUGGAACCACUUACGCGUCAACCAUGAUGAGUGUGAUAGUAAAAAAAAAAUGUCAAUUUGCAUCCUACACGUACUUUUAAAAAGACCAAGAAAAAUAAAUAAGUCUAUCAUUGCAACUUUAUCUAGUGAGGAGACAACUUGAAAUUUCUAAUAAUUGAGAUUAAUAAUUUAAUCUAAACAUUAUAAUAAGAGAUGAUGACGUCUUGCUUCUCUAAUGAGAUACAUGCCACCCAUGUUUUUAAUUUCACCAAAAUAUAUAUGAAAUGCUAAUUACUAAUGGAGUUUUGAGAUUUUUUAUCACAUGCGAUACUUAGACAACCCAAACAGAAGGCAUGAGAGAGAGAUGGAGACCAAAAGAGAGAAGAAGUAUGAGAGAGGUGGAGAGACAAGGAGAGAAGGGCACCUUCAGAUGGAUCAGUGGUAGCAUUGGCUUCAGUGGAUUGAGCAGCAGCUGCAUGAAAGAGCCCAAUCACAUAAACACCAUACAAGGCAACAAAGACCCAGCUGACUGAUUGAGCUCCGGGCAUCAACUUCAUCAUCAGCAAAAGAUAACCGACAGCCGAGAGAGGAAGAGAAAAAGAGAGAGGCGAUCAGGCAAAGGAGCUGAAAGCCGAUUUGGUGUAUAGAUGCAAAUUUACAAAGCACUUUCUUGUUAUAAUAACAUAUCUGCAACUCUUCAAAUACAGACGCUACCGCAGACAAGUCCCCACAGCCCAAAGACUUUCACAGGACACAUGGGUGUCUUUUCUUUUUUUAUUAUUUUAUUUUUAUAUUUACAAAGAAGUUGAUUAUGAACACGUUGAGACGGAUUUUGAGGGCUGUUACAGGCCACAGUAUCCGCGUUGGAUUGGUUAGGAGGAAAUGGAUAAGAUAAUGAAUGGAUACAGGAUUUGGACGCAAACUUUUUUGACGAGUGCGGGGGCGGGGGGCGGAGGAGGCUGAGGAUCAAUGUUCAGCAUCGGCUCCUGCUGCGGAGGUCAGAGAAAGCGUCGCCCAGGGUUGAUCUUGGCGUCAGUCAUUUUGUUGGGCCCUUCACACCGCCUCUUUUGUUAAUGUACCGCUGUCCAUUGUUGUUCUUUCUCGUUUUUCUUCUGUUGUUGUCUUUUGACUCUUUGUGACCGACCGCACGCAUUGUGGGCGUUUCCUCAUCAACUACUUAUAUGCCAAAAGUAACAUAUAGGAAGUUGAGUUGAAAAAGUAAUCUUUUUUUAAAUAAAAAUUUCACAUCCAAAUUAGUUUUUAAAAUAUUUAUCAAACUAAUUUUUUAACCAUGUCAACUUUAUUAAUUUUUAAUGAUAAAACCAUAAUCAUGAACUAUGAUUUUAUCAUUAAAAAAAAAUUAAAUAUAAUCAUGGAUUAUGCUAAUAUGGCAUAAUCGUGGUACUCGGAUGAAUAUUUUGAAAAUAAAUCUAAAUUUUUAUUUUAAAAAAAAUUACUUUCAUAGCAAACUCUAAAAAUUAAGCCACGAGCACAUUCAUUGGAUAUAAAAGCCCAAUGAACUAUUUGAGGGGAUCGGUCCUUAAUCUUCUUCUCUCAUUUUUAAUACCCAUUGAGAUGUCCAAUAACCCUAAUUUGAUUAUUUUAUUGGCAAAUUUUAUCUCAAAUUAUGAAUGAAACUAUAAAUACGAAAAUCACUACAACUUUUUAACAAUAUAAGAGUCUUAACCUUUGUUAUUAUAAAAUAAAUAAAUAAAUAAAUAAAAAAUAAAAAAACCAAAAACUCCAAGAGUUGAAUUCUUUUUUAGAAGAAAAUUUGUGUUUUGUAAUUUUUCAAAGAGUAAGACUUUGUGUUCUGACUGAACACUCUAUCCUCAAACUUAUUUCAUUACAGUUUUAAUAUAUAUACUUAAUCCCUCUAAUAUGGCAUAAUCGUGGUACUCGGAUGAAUAUUUAGAAAAUAAAUCUAAAUUUUUAUUUUAAAAAAAAUUACUUUCAUAGCAAACUCUAAAAAAUUAAGCCACGAGCACAUCUAUUGGAUAUAAAUACCCAACAAACUAUUUGAGGGGGGUCAAUCCUUAAUCCUCUUCUCUCAUUUUUAAUGAGAAAAAUUAUUCCCUAGCCUCUUCUAUUGGGCUUGAUUAUGGGAAAGUUCAGGUUUCCUUUUAAUACCCGUUGAGAUGUCCAAUAACCCUGAUUUGAUAAUUUUAUUGGUAAAUUUUAUCUCAAAUCGUGAAAGAAAUUAUAAAUUCGAAAAUCACUGCAACUUUUUAACAAUAUAAGAGCUUUAACCUUUGUUAUUAAAAAAAAACAAAAAACAAAAACAAAAACUCCAAGAGUUGACUUUUUAGAAGAAAAAUUGUGUUUUGUAAUUUUUCAAAGAGGAAGACUUUGUGUCCCGAUUGAAAUAGCCCAAUCAAAAAUAUCCAAACCUAUCAUAUUUCACUUUCGUCAUUCAUUCAUAUUUCAUUUUUUAAAAGUCAUUCAUACAAACAAAUGUUUCAUGCAAUCAUAUGAGCACAAUUGCAAUUUGGGAGUUAUGAACUCAUGUACGUGUUAGAAAUAAAUAAUAGCCUAACCCCAAAAUUUAAAAAUAAAAAAUAAUAAUCAUAUCUCACUCUAUCCCCAAACUUAUUUCAUUACGGUUUUAAUAUACACACUUAAUCCCUCAACAUUAUAAAUGUAUUCAUAAUUAUAUCAAGUACAAUUAUGAUAUAAUAGGUUGAUUGUAAAUAUAAUUUCUUCAUUUUGAGCUCAUAUGUUUUAGAUUUAAAUUAAUCAUUUAUUAAAUAUGCUCCAUAAAAAUAAAUUGUUUCAGUUCAUUAAAAACAUAUCAAAGUAAUAACAUUAGUUUGUCACUUAAAAGAUGGUCAAAAUCAAGGAUGAAAAUUUCACGAAAUUUUGUGUCUCCUAACUCCUACCAAUACUAUUAAAUGGUGGAGAAAUAUCUACCUAACCCUUUCAACCAAUUUUUCUAUGGGUUCUAUAAUUUUGGAUUUUCAUCAAAAUUUGGUGAUUUUUCGAUUCGACUUAUCAAGGUCAAAGUUCAUAAAACUCCAUAAAUGAGAGGAUUUGGACUUGAACAUAGAAUUCUCCCAUAAAAGAAAAAGAGUUAAUAUAUAGGUGAGUGUAAGACAAAGAUGGUAGCAAAAUGACUUAAGAAAGAAGAAUUGCAGUGUGAUUGUCAAAAGAAAAUGAGGCUUAAGGUUAGGAUGUUUAUGUAGAUGGAAAUUGAUGUAAUUAAUUAGAAAAGUGUGAAUAAUAAAGUAAAACUAUAUUAUAUCCGGGAUGUGGCCAUCAAACCCAUUCUCAAGGGAUGUUUGAUAAAACUUAAUACUUAAUGACUUAAGUUGACUUUAAGUUAAAUUAUACUUUAAGUUGUUGAUUUUAAACUCAUUACUUAAUUCUUAUUUUAUGUAUUAAGAUUAUUUAAUAAAAUUAACUUAAAAUUUAAUCUAAAUUAUUAAAUUGACAUAUUUAUCCCCAUAAAUUAUAAUUAGAGCAAAAGGGAUUAAAUAAUAAUGGAAGUUUUAAAUUAGUAAAAGUUGUGAAAGUAACUAGAGUAAAUGGAGUUAAAAAGGUAAAAUAAAGAUGUAAAGUUAAAAAUAAGAUAAUUGUUUUUACUUAUCACUUAAAAUUAUUUUUUAUUUUAAGUUAUACUAUUAAAUUAUUUUACGAAAUAUAAUUAAUUUAUUUAAUAAUUUAAAUUAAAUUAUUAAGUCACUGUUAUUAAAUUAGUUUACCAAACACUCACUCAAUCCUAAAUCAAUCAACUUUUGCAUUUUUGCCCGAAAACGAAUUCAAAUUCCCCAUACUUGUCCUAUAAGGGUGCAUUAUGGCAGGUUAUCUAAUUAGCUUAAGCAAUUGUCAUCCCAAAGGAGUGUCUCUAGCAAAGCUAAUGUGGAUAAUUUUAUAUUUAACAACACAUUGAUGUCCACGGGGCAAAGAGGGUCAUAUUGUUUGACCAAAACUACACGGGUCAUGUAAUUUUAGGAAAUAGUGUAAUUUUUCCUUUUCUAUUAUCAUCUAUGACUCCUCUGUUAAGGAACCAUUUUUGAUUGACUUAUUUCCUAUAAAUAUUCUUAUCUUUAAGAAAAAUAACCUCUAAAAGAUAUGUAGCUCUUACAUCACUAAUAUUUUAAGCUAUAGAUAACACCUUAAUCCAAAAUUGUAGUAACGAUGUUUUUUUAUUGAAUGAAAAAAAGUUAAAUAUUUUUAUUUUUUUAAUUCAAUUAAAAAUAAUCUAUUGAUAUUAACUAAUAUAAUUAUAUAGAAUGUAUUAAUAACAAGUUCACUUUAUUUAUAUAUAUUAAUAUCAAUAUAUUAUUUUUAACUUAAUAAAAAAAAUCAAAUAUUUUAUAUUUUUCUAUCAAGCAAAAAGAAAAACAGGAAAAUCUUCACCAAGCUGCUGAGAGUGUGUGCAUGAUUUAAUUUUGUCUCUUUGUUUGACUUUUCUGAUUUGUUGUUAGCAUAAUGCAGGUACUUCUUGUGUGCUACAGUUCUGCUCCUUUUGGCGUCUCUUUAUUAUCAAUAAGUCAAAUUAACAGGAUGAUUAAUGUAGGUGAAGGGCAUGACGUAUGUGAGUGUGACCCAUAAUUUGUGAUAUUAGAUACACUAUGUACCUUCCCAUGUACAGUGUUUAGAAUGAGCCAUCUAUGAACCCUAAAUAGUUAAAUUGCCUUUUCUUCUUCCAAGCUUGUGUCAGAAUUUGGACUUCCACUAACAAUCUCUAGAGCUACAACACCAAAACUACACGCAUCGGCCUUUUCUGUGAGGUGCCCACGCAUGGCAUACUCUGGUGCGAGAUACCCACUACAUCAGUAACAUAAAAGACCAGUUUAAAACUUUGAGGAUACAUGAAAAAUAUCCCAAAAAAGAGAAUAAACAAGGAACAUAGGGCCUUGACUUUUGAGGAUCUUACAUUGUGCCUGCAACACGGGUGCUUAUGUGAGUCAUUGUGCCAUCAUACUGUUUGGCCAAACCAAAAUCUGAAAUCUUAGGAUUGAGAUAAUAGUCAAGCAGAAUAUUGCUGGCCUUCACAUCUCUGUGUACAAUGCGAAGUCACGAUUCCUCAUGAAGAUAGGCUAGACCCCUGGCUACACCCAAGCAUAUAUCAUAACGGGUUGGCCAAUCAAGGUCCAAACUUCCGUUUCCUGUACAUGAAUAAUAAGCAUAACUGUAUUCAUUGUGUUUUCUUCAUAAG